CUCAUUUAUUUAAAAAGAGGCACAUCUAUUAUUCGAAUUAAGCCUUUUUUAUACCGUAUAGCCAUCAUUAAUUUUCGUAGAGUUUAAAUUUAUGUCUUAAGGGUUAAAAAAAAAACUGUCACAGUCAUGUCGCAAAAUGAAUCCUUAAAUAGAAUGAAUACCUAGAUUUUUCUUCAUUGGAUGAAUGACAAUUCCCGCAUUUGGCUCUAGGUAGGUCUACCUUACCUAUUCUAUUUACUAGAAGCAUUAUUCUUUUAGCCUAUUUGGCUGCUUCAGCCUAAUCUAGUGUAACAUAUAUUUAGGUAUUUAUUUAAACUAAAUUCAACAUAAAACAAAAGUAAAAAAAAAAUAAUUAAUGAAAUAUUAACCUAAUUAAACUAAAAUAAAAAUACAAACACUAUAUACAUUAAAACUAUAACUAAAACCCUACUAAUACAAUAAUAAAUCACUAAAUAACAAACAAAUAAACAAAAACAUUAAAACAUAGGUACGUAAGUUGGUCACAUCAAUAAUGGCUAGUUGUUCGUUCUCACUGCAACAUACGACCGGUCCUUUGUUCUCGUCCCCACAUAAACGGGCGCGUAGCGGGCGAUCGCGGAAAGCGAUUUUGAUCUUCAUACAGCGGACACGUAAACGCUCAUCUCAACGCAGUGUUCAAAAAAUUUAAAUACGCUGAUAAUUAAUUCCUCCAGUUUUUUUUUACACACUGUGACUAGAAUUUCUAAAGUGUAAAAUUUCUCUUCAGUUUAAUUUCAAAGUUUUGUGUGUGCAAUAUUAUUACCCGUGAAUCGGGUCCGAGUUUAGGGCUGAGACGACAGCCAUAUCAUUGCGCACCACCCUGCGACUGCUGAGUGCUGUCCGUACGACCGACCAUCCCAGCGUAGCCAUUGACCGAAGACUGGUCGCGAUUAAGGGCAGUACCUCUUUGUCAGGAUUUAGAACACGGCAUAGGGCAGUAGGACUCAACCCUGUAUUUAUUUUCUUUAAAUAAAAUUAUUAUCUGUGGA
Molecule: long non-coding RNA, 1007 nt
Organism: Plodia interpunctella (Indianmeal moth)
Lineage: Eukaryota; Metazoa; Arthropoda; Insecta; Lepidoptera; Pyralidae
Exons: 2
Source: RefSeq, a predicted model, not a curated record